GCGGAAGAGAUAAGUGCUGAAAGCAUCUAAGCACGAAACUUGCCCCGAGAUGAGUUCUCCCUGACCCUUUAAGGGUCCUGAAGGAACGUUGAAGACGACGACGUUGAUAGGCCGGGUGUGUAAGCGCAGCGAUGCGUUGAGCUAACCGGUACUAAUGAACCGUGAGGCUUAACCUUAC
Molecule: ribosomal RNA, 178 nt
Filed under: Escherichia coli O157:H- str. 493-89
Lineage: Bacteria; Pseudomonadati; Pseudomonadota; Gammaproteobacteria; Enterobacterales; Enterobacteriaceae
Also listed under: 1 other name
Description: partial 23S ribosomal RNA
Rfam family: Bacterial large subunit ribosomal RNA
Source: RNAcentral